CCUACGGGUGGCUGCAGUGGGGAAUAUUGCACAAUGGGCGCAAGCCUGAUGCAGCCAUGCCGCGUGUGUGAAGAAGACCUUCGGGUUGUAAAGCACUUUCAGCGGGGAGGAAGGCGGUGAGGUUAAUAACCUCAUCGAUUGACGUUACCCGCAGAAGAAGCACCGGCUAACUCCGUGCCAGCAGCCGCGGUAAUACGGAGGGUGCAAGCGUUAAUCGGAAUUACUGGGCGUAAAGCGCACGCAGGCGGUCUGUCAAGUCGGAUGUGAAAUCCCCGGGCUCAACCUGGGAACUGCAUUCGAAACUGGCAGGCUAGAGUCUUGUAGAGGGGGGUAGAAUUCCAGGUGUAGCGGUGAAAUGCGUAGAGAUCUGGAGGAAUACCGGUGGCGAAGGCGGCCCCCUGGACAAAGACUGACGCUCAGGUGCGAAAGCGUGGGGAGCAAACAGGAUUAGAUACCCCAGUAGUC
RNAcentral lists this ribosomal RNA (465 nucleotides) under uncultured Klebsiella sp. Its description in RNAcentral is "bacterial SSU rRNA". It matches the Rfam family "Bacterial small subunit ribosomal RNA", at positions 338 to 795 of the family's 1533-position model. Lineage: Bacteria; Pseudomonadati; Pseudomonadota; Gammaproteobacteria; Enterobacterales; Enterobacteriaceae. The record is from RNAcentral.